GCCACUGAUCUUGUUGUUCUAACAAUACCCAAACUGGGCAGACCAAGCAAUCCAGAGCAGAGAAAAACAGUCCACAGGAACACAGAAAAGGUCUUUGAUGUUUGAUAAAACAGAUAUCUGUGAAUUUCAAGGGGUGGCAGAGAGAGAGGUUUUCGUCUUUCUUUUUCUGGUUUUAGGUGUUGCUGCUUUUGCAUAUAGAAAACAGAGAACCCAGAAAGGAAAUUCAAGGGAGAAACUUUGGUUUUCAUCAGAGAAUUCAGCUGGUAUUGUUUUAGCGAAUUCGUGCUGAUAACGUGUUAUAAAUGUAGAGCGAAAUUGAGAGAGAGAAUGAAGAGAAUGUUUUGUUAUCUUAUUGAAUGUUUCUGUCUGUGUUACAAUGGAGAGGGAUCACUCCUUUUAUAGGCAAAACCUAUUCUAACUUGUGGGCUCCACAAUUAUUUACAACAUUAACUUCAGUUCUUUGAUCUAGUUUGUUCAUGUCCAUUGUCAAUCUUUGCGAGUGUUCAAUCUAAUUAUGGAUCACCAGUGUUUGGGACCCACACAUUUAGUUU
This is a long non-coding RNA of Prunus persica (peach), 551 nucleotides long. RefSeq lists it as uncharacterized. NCBI's taxonomy places the organism in Eukaryota, Viridiplantae, Streptophyta, Magnoliopsida, Rosales, Rosaceae. The record is from RefSeq and is a predicted model, not a curated record. The transcript is spliced from 2 exons.